GGAUUCAGAGAUGAUUUCCUUCAGUUCGGCUGGACAAGUGACAGGUGCUGCAUGGCUGUCGUCAGCUCGUGUCGUGAGAUGUUGGGUUAAGUCCCGCAACGAGCGCAACCCUCAUCUUUAGUUGCCAUCAUUCAGUUGGGCACUCUAAAGAAACUGCCGGUGAUAAGCCGGAGGAAGGUGGGGAUGACGUCAAGUCCUCAUGGCCCUUACACGCUGGGCUACACACGUGCUACAAUGGCGGUGACAGUGGGCAGCAACCUCGCGAGGGGUAGCUAAUCUCCAAAAGCCGUCUCAGUUCGGAUUGUUCUCUGCAACUCGAGAGCAUGAAGGCGGAAUCGCUAGUAAUCGCGGAUCAGCAUGCCGCGGUGAAUACGUUCCCAGGCCUUGUACACACCGCCCGUCACACCAUGGGAGUUGGAUUCACCCGAAGGCGUUGCGCUAACCUAGCAAUAGGAGGCAGGCGACCACGGUGGGUUUAGCGACUGGGGUGAAGUCGUCGUAAC
Molecule: ribosomal RNA, 503 nt
Filed under: uncultured bacterium
Lineage: Bacteria
Description: bacterial SSU rRNA
Rfam family: Bacterial small subunit ribosomal RNA
Source: RNAcentral